This 67-nucleotide transfer RNA is filed under the name Cyanobium sp. LEGE 06143. Its description in RNAcentral is "tRNA-Pro". The record is from RNAcentral. Lineage: Bacteria; Bacillati; Cyanobacteriota; Cyanophyceae; Synechococcales; Prochlorococcaceae.
GGAGCUACACAUAGUAGCGCACCACUUUGGGGUAGUGGGGGUCGUGGGUUCAAAUCCCGCCGCUCCG